Molecule: ribosomal RNA, 751 nt
Filed under: uncultured bacterium
Lineage: Bacteria
Description: bacterial SSU rRNA
Rfam family: Bacterial small subunit ribosomal RNA
Source: RNAcentral
UAGUUUGAUCCUGGCUCAGAACGAACGCUGGCGGCGUGGAUUAGGCAUGCAAGUCGAGCGAGAACCGUUGAGGGGUAACCUAAGAUGGGGAAAGCGGCGAAAGGGUGAGUAAUGAAUAGUCAACCUACCUUCUUGUUUGGGAUAACACUGGGAAACUAGUGCUAAUACCGAAUAGUCUCAUAAGAUUGCAUGAUUUUAUGAGUAAAGAUGGCCUCUCGGAGAAGCUUUUGCAAGAAGAGGGGACUAUUUCCUAUUAGCUUGUUGGUGGGGUAAUGGCUCACCAAGGCGAUGAUGGGUAGCCGGCCUUAGCGGGUGUCCGGCCACACUGGGACUGAGAUACUGCCCAGACUCCUACGGGAGGCUGCAGUCGAGAAUCUUCCGCAAUGGACGAAAGUCUGACGGAGCGACGCCGCGUGUGGGAUUGAAGGCCCUUGGGUUGUAAACCACUGUCACUAGUUAAGAAAUACUUGAUUGUUAAUAGCGAUCGGGUUUGACAAAAGCUAGAGAGGAAGCCACGGCUAACUUCGUGCCAGCAGCCGCGGUAAGACGAAGGUGGCAAGCGUUGUUCGGAAUCACUGGGCAUAAAGCGCACGUAGGCGGUCUGCUAAGUUGGAUGUGAAAGCCCUCGGCCCAACCGAGGAAUAGCGCCCAAUACUGGUAGACUUGAGGGUUGGAGAGGUGUAUGGAAUUCCUGGUGGAGCGGUGAAAUGCGUUGAUAUCAGGAGGAACACCGGAGGCGAAGGCGAUACAC